Long non-coding RNA from Sphaerodactylus townsendi, 122 nucleotides. RefSeq lists it as uncharacterized. The record is from RefSeq and is a predicted model, not a curated record. The transcript is spliced from 3 exons. Lineage: Eukaryota; Metazoa; Chordata; Lepidosauria; Squamata; Sphaerodactylidae.
CACUGACCCUUCAGUCUAGAGAUCUUGUCUAGUGGCAGAGAGGCCAGAGAGACGGAGAGAGGAAGGCUAGGUGGUCAGAUUCUUCUAAGUGAUCUCAGAGAAACUGAGAGGAAGGAUCAGUG